CAUUACAAUCGGGUACCCAACAUCCUUCAGUAUCAUCUCCACUCCAGCAAGACACCCCAAAAGUUGCAACUGCAUAUAUGAUUUGUAGUGUUUGAUUUAGAGUUUGAUCAAUCAAAGAUUUGAUUACACUAAGCUGUAUAGCUCUUUAUGUUACCUCAUUCACAUUUCCAAGGUGUCCAAUUCUGAAAACCUUUCCUGCCACUUUGUUGAGACCAAGACCAAGACUUAGGUUGUACCUCUGCCAUGCCCUUCUCACUACCUCUGAGCCGUCUAUAUUUGGGGGCACCAUUACUGCUGUCACAGUGUUACUUAUCCACUCCUCCUUCUGUGUGCAGUUCUUCAGCCCCCAUGCUUCUACCGCCAGCCUAUGUACAUGACCAUAUUAACAAUCAAACUCUAGUUAUAAUGUUAUCAAGACUUUGUACUAUCAAGACUCUAAGAGAAUUAAACUAUUUAAGACUACGAAUUCGAUUACUCGCAUAGGAAGAUGAAAUGUUUUAUGGAUCAAAAUCGCGUUACAUAGCUAAAUUUUACCUAGUGGCCUUUCCGAGACGAGCAUGACGAGCGAUUAUAUUCUCAAGUCCUUCCUCGAAGAUAAGAUCAAGAGCGGCUCUGAGACCGUAGAGGAGUUGAAUGGAAGGUGUGUAAGGCCAAUAGGUUCCAAGCUUGUAAAACUUGAGGUAGUCAUUCCAAUCAAAGAAUACUUUGAGGGAUUUAGAGGUUUUUGUAGCUUCCAAGGCUUUAGGACUGGCACACACAAUACCAAGUCCUGUUGGUAGAGAUAAGGCUUUCUGGGAGCCGGUCAAGGCAACAUCCACUCCCCACUCAUCCAUUCGGAAAUCAAGCGCACAAAUGGACGAGACACC
RNAcentral lists this long non-coding RNA (866 nucleotides) under Capsella grandiflora. RNAcentral's name for it is "long non-coding RNA (CGRA_LNC001545)". The record is from RNAcentral. Lineage: Eukaryota; Viridiplantae; Streptophyta; Magnoliopsida; Brassicales; Brassicaceae.